UCUCAACACCAAAUGGUUCGUACUACAUAGAUCUUUUGGGUACGCUAGGCAAUCCUCAAAAUCUCAAUACCAAAUGGGCCCGAGAAGGAAGGAAAUUUGUUUCCUACUUGAUAGAUCUUUUGGGUAAUACAUGAGAGGAAAAGUUGAAGAAUGUAUGAGCCGCCACAAGAGAAAAUGUGAUUAAUCUCCAUGAUCGAUAAACUGUGAGACGACAAGAUACGAGAACAGGAGUAAUAUGGUUAUUUCUACAGGAAAUACUCAAAACUUGCAAUGAUGAUGUCACUGCAAUAUGAGAGAGAGAGAGAGAAAA
This is a long non-coding RNA of Ananas comosus (pineapple), 310 nucleotides long. RefSeq lists it as uncharacterized. The transcript is spliced from 3 exons. NCBI's taxonomy places the organism in Eukaryota, Viridiplantae, Streptophyta, Magnoliopsida, Poales, Bromeliaceae. The record is from RefSeq and is a predicted model, not a curated record.